This 1932-nucleotide ribosomal RNA is filed under the name Triticum aestivum (bread wheat). Its description in RNAcentral is "partial small subunit ribosomal RNA". Lineage: Eukaryota; Viridiplantae; Streptophyta; Magnoliopsida; Poales; Poaceae. The record is from RNAcentral.
AUGGCAACGCAGAUGGGCUGCUCGCCGGCGGCGGCCAGGGCCGCGCGCCUCCUCCUCAUCGUCCUCGUGGUCGCGGCUGGCACAUCGGUGGCCGGGGCGACGUACGUCCGGUACAAGGAUCCGAAGCAGCCGAUCCAGGCGCGCGUGACGGAUCUCCUCGGCCGAAUGACGCUCGAGGAGAAGAUCGGCCAGAUGACCCAGAUCGAGCGCGCCAACGCCUCCACGGCCGUCAUCGAGAAGUACUUCGUCGGGAGCGUGCUGAGCGGCGGCGGCAGCGUGCCGUCGGAGAAGGCGUCGGCGGCGACGUGGCAGGAGAUGAUCACCAAGAUGCAGAAGGCGGCGCUCAGCACCCGCCUCGGCAUCCCCAUCAUCUACGGCAUCGACGCCGUGCACGGCAACAACAACGCCUACAACGCCACCAUCUUCCCCCACAACGUCGGCCUCGGCGCCACCAGGGACCCCGACCUGGUCAAGCUCAUCGGCCGCGCCACGGCGCUCGAGGCCAGGGCCACCGGCAUCGCCUACACCUUCGCGCCAUGCGUCGCCGUUUGCCGUGAUCCGAGGUGGGGCAGGUGCUACGAGAGCUUCAGCGAGGACACGAAGCUGGUGCAGCUGAUGACGGCGGCCGUGAUCCCCGGUCUGCAGGGCGCCGCCCGCCACCCCACGGGCAUCCCCAUCGUGGCCGGGCCCAAGAACGUGGCCGGCUGCGCCAAGCACUUCGUCGGCGACGGCGGGACUCGCAACGGGAUCAACGAGAACAACACGGUGCUGAGCUUCCACGACCUCAUGCGGAUCCACAUGCCGCCCUACUACGACGCCGUCAUCAAGGGCAUCGCCUCCGUCAUGAUCUCCUACUCCAGCUGGAACGGCGUCAAGAUGCACGAGAACAAGUACCUCAUCACCCAAAUCCUCAAGGACAAGAUGCGCUUCAGGGGGUUCGUGAUCACGGACUGGCAGGCGGUGGACAAGAUCACCACGCCGCCGCACAAGCACUACUACCACUCCAUCCAGGAGACCAUCCACGCAGGCAUCGACAUGGUCAUGGUCCCCUACGAUUACCCGGAGUUCGUCGCCGACGUCACCGCGCAGGCCAAGCGCGGCGCCAUCAACAUGGACCGCAUCAACGACGCCGUCAGCCGCAUCCUCCGGGUCAAGUUCGCCAUGGGCCUCUUCGAGAACCCCUUGCCCGACCACACCCUCGUCGACCAGCUCGGCAGCAAGCCGCACCGGGAGCUCGCCAGGGAGGCCGUCCGCAAGUCGCUCGUGCUGCUCAAGAACGGCAAAGGCAAGAAAGACGGCAAGCCCGUCCUGCCGCUCUCCAAGGACGCCAAGAAGAUCCUCGUCGUCGGCACCCACGCCCACGACCUCGGCCUCCAGUGCGGCGGCUGGACCAAGUCCUGGCAGGGUCAGUCCGGCAACGACUUCACCGGCCAAGGCACGACCAUCCUUGAGGCGAUCAAGUCGGCGGUGGACAAGAAGACGGUCAUCGACUACUCGGAGCACCCGGACAAGGGCUCCAUCUCCAAGAACCUGGACGAGUACGACUACGGCGUGGUGGUGGUGGGCGAGCAGCCCUACGCCGAGACGGCCGGCGACAACCAGAACCUCACCAUCCCGGGCCCGGGGCCUGAGGUCAUCAGGAAGGUGUGCGAGCUCGUCAAGUGCGUCGUGGUCCUUGUCUCCGGCCGCCCGCUCGUCGUCGAGCCGUACCUGGACACCAUGGACGCGCUCGUCGCCGCGUGGCUGCCGGGCACCGAGGGCCACGGCGUCGCCGACGUGCUCUUCGGGGACUACGGCUUCUCCGGGAAGCUGCCGCGGACGUGGGUCAGGUCCGUGGACCAGCUGCCCAUGAACUACGGCGACAAGCUCUACGACCCGCUCUUCCCCUUCGGCUUCGGCCUCACCACCAAGCCGGCGGCGGAUCGCAGUUAG